UGCUCUCUGUGCUCUAAUACUCUUUAUCAUCUCUAACUUGUAUCUAGCAUGCGGGUCCUUGAAUCUAGCCUGUGGUGGUACCUUUAUAGGACCGCUACUUGUCUUUACCUUAGCCCGUUGACUUCUAGCCUUGGGAUCGUACAACCUGUCCUUCACGGGUUUGACUUUUUUAGGUGACUUCUUUUUCGUCCCCCAAUCGGGAUCUCUAGCCUCAGGAUCUUUGCCACGCUGUUUAGCUAUGCCAGAGGUCGGCCCAUUUGGCAGCAAUGGCCUCUGAGAUUUUCUUUCUCUGCUCGAGGGUUUUGGGUGCUCGUACCCCUGGGCCGGACCCACGUGUCUUUUUUCUUGAUUCAAUACCUUCUUUAAACUCCUUACCGAGCUGUUGGUUGAUGACAUCGUAAGAGUCCCACUGCAGCUCU
Molecule: long non-coding RNA, 419 nt
Filed under: Helianthus annuus (common sunflower)
Lineage: Eukaryota; Viridiplantae; Streptophyta; Magnoliopsida; Asterales; Asteraceae
Description: sRNA HanXRQr2_Chr10g0458031
Source: RNAcentral